GUGACGCAGCUAACGCAUUAAGUUCCCCGCCUGGGGAGUACGGCCGCAAGGCUAAAACUCAAAGGAAUUGACGGGGACCCGCACAAGCGGCGGAGCAUGCGGAUUAAUUCGAUGCAACGCGAAGAACCUUACCAAGGCUUGACAUAUACGAGAACGCUGCAGAAAUGUAGAACUCUUUGGACACUCGUAAACAGGUGGUGCAUGGUUGUCGUCAGCUCGUGUCGUGAGAUGUUGGGUUAAGUCCCGCAACGAGCGCAACCCUCGUUCUAUGUUGCCAGCACGUAAUGGUGGGAACUCAUGGGAUACUGCCGGGGUCAACUCGGAGGAAGGUGGGGAUGACGUCAAAUCAUCAUGCCCCUUAUGUCUUGGGCUUCACGCAUGCUACAAUGGCCGGUACAAAGGGCUGCAAUACCGUAAGGUGGAGCGAAUCCCAAAAAGCCGGUCCCAGUUCGGAUUGAGGUCUGCAACUCGACCUCAUGAAGUCGGAGUCGCUAGUAAUCG
RNAcentral lists this ribosomal RNA (501 nucleotides) under Microbacterium laevaniformans. RNAcentral's name for it is "bacterial SSU rRNA". It matches the Rfam family "Bacterial small subunit ribosomal RNA", at positions 843 to 1344 of the family's 1533-position model. Lineage: Bacteria; Bacillati; Actinomycetota; Actinomycetes; Micrococcales; Microbacteriaceae. The record is from RNAcentral.